UGACAGUGACCCAAAGAAGAAAUUAAGUGUAUAUAUUAGCUGUUUGUGAAGUUUGGAGAAUUUAUUUAACCUGUUUCAUUCAAAAUGUCGUGGAAAUUAACAAACGUAUAUUCUGUAAUAGUGGCAACUGGAAUAUUUCUUAUGUUUCAAAAGGUGCACUCGAAUCAAAGAGUCCAAACAUAUUAUCUAUACUGGAACCAAACAAACU
Molecule: long non-coding RNA, 208 nt
Filed under: Mytilus galloprovincialis (Mediterranean mussel)
Lineage: Eukaryota; Metazoa; Mollusca; Bivalvia; Mytilida; Mytilidae
Source: RNAcentral